RNAcentral lists this transfer RNA (74 nucleotides) under Candidatus Barnesiella excrementipullorum. RNAcentral's name for it is "tRNA-Arg". It matches the Rfam family "tRNA". From Rfam's summary of the family: Transfer RNA (tRNA) molecules are approximately 80 nucleotides in length. Their secondary structure includes four short double-helical elements and three loops (D, anti-codon, and T loops). The record is from RNAcentral. Lineage: Bacteria; Pseudomonadati; Bacteroidota; Bacteroidia; Bacteroidales; Barnesiellaceae.
GGUCGAGUAGCUCAACUGGAUAGAGCAACAGCCUUCUAAGCUGUGGGUUGCGGGUUCGAGUCCCGCCUCGAUCA